Molecule: ribosomal RNA, 517 nt
Filed under: uncultured bacterium
Lineage: Bacteria
Description: bacterial SSU rRNA
Rfam family: Bacterial small subunit ribosomal RNA
Source: RNAcentral
GCAAGUCGAACGGUAACAUUUCUAGCUUGCUAGAAGAUGACGAGUGGCGGACGGGUGAGUAAUGCUUGGGGACUUGCCUUUGCGAGGGGGAUAACAGUUGGAAACGACUGCUAAUACCGCAUAAUGUCUUCGGACCAAACGGGGCUUCGGCUCCGGCGCAAAGAGAGGCCCAAGUGAGAUUAGCUAGUUGGUAAGGUAACGGCUUACCAAGGCGACGAUCUCUAGCUGUUCUGAGAGGAAGAUCAGCCACACUGGGACUGAGACACGGCCCAGACUCCUACGGGAGGCAGCAGUGGGGAAUAUUGCACAAUGGGGGGAACCCUGAUGCAGCCAUGCCGCGUGUGUGAAGAAGGCCUUCGGGUUGUAAAGCACUUUCAGUUGUGAGGAAAAGUUAGUAGUUAAUACCUGCUAGCCGUGACGUUNACAACAGAAGAAGCACCGGCUAACUCCGUGCCAGCAGCCGCGGUAAUACGGAGGGUGCGAGCGUCAAUCGGAAUUACUGGGCGUAAAGCGCACG